AACACAACAAAGUCACAACUCAUCUACCUUAAGACGGGUAACAAACAACAGCUUGUAUUCUGGAAUAAGGACCGUAACACUUUCAGUUGCACUUCAGGAAAUGGGCUGGACCCUGUGGUAGAAAGUCUAGCAGACACCACAGUGAAAAUAUUCAAGGUAUACAGUGUUGCGCUUAGUCAUUGUCUAUAGACUGCUUAGAGAUUUGAAUUUCAAACACAGCGAGUGUUCAUUAAAUCUAAACCUAAUCCAAAUGCAAGAGAUCUGGCUUACUUAAAUUUUUUAAAUGUGUUAAAAAUGACCUUGUUUUCAGGUCCUUAGCUUUCCUGGCUAGAAUUAAUGGCUGGCAAUUUGGUAGUCAGAGUACAGAAAGUGCAGAAAGGCUGUAAGGUUGCAAACAUGACAUCUGAUGUGUUUAGGUGGAGAGUCUACACUGUAGACCUACAUAAGCGUUGUGGUUUCUUUGAGUGUGGGUUGUGCUGUGUUGGUUUCACAGCGUCUUGAGCAUUUUCUUCUGUUGAGUAUGUACAGUCAACUCCAGAAUAAUUGGGACCCCUUUCACAGAUGAGGAAAAAUAUGACCCUUUUAGCUUAAUGUCACAUUGAAAAAAAUAUUAUAAUAAUCCAACCUUCCAUUGAAGAUCAUUUAUUUUGAGGGGAAAAAAAUCUUGUCAUAAAUAAUUAUUUAUUAUUAUUUAUGAAUUAAGUAUGGUGGCGGUUAUGUUGUGUGGAUGUUUAUCCCCUGGGAACCUUGUAAGGGUACAUGACAUCAUGAACUCCAUGAAAUACUUGGAUAUAGUCUAUGACAGGACAUGACAAGCUAAAUUAUAAAAAAAGUGAAAUAAAUAAAUAUUCAUCUUUGCCAGGGGUGCCAAAAAAUCCAGAGUUGAGUGUAUGGCCUUUGUAACAAGGAAUGCAUUUGUGUUUUAUAGUUGGUCGUUGUGUUAGAAAGGUCAAUGUCCCUCUCUGUUUGCGUUAAACGAGGUAUACAGUGUUGCGCUUAGUCAUUGUCUAUAGACUGCUUAGAGAUUUGAAUUUCAAACACAGCGAGUGUUCAUGGAUAUGAUCUAAUAAGACCUACUCUUAAGCCUAUAAGCACUAUUUAUUUAUGUAAAGGUACCUUUUUAUCUACCUUUGUUGUCAACACUGCAGAGUGUAGACAAUGUAAUUUGUUGAUUUACAAAUGACUAUUUCAAUUACUAAUUCAAGGAUUUAAAUCUUGUUUGUUGAGAAAAGCCCAAAAGCAACAAGUAUAAUUUAAAAAACGUAUUAAUAGUGUCCAAUUACGACCAGUAAAUACAUGUUAAUGUUAUUGUUUCUCCUAUGAUUCAUGUGACUAGUAAGCAAGUGUUAAUCAGCGUGUGGUUGAUCACAUUAUUAUUUAUGAGGUCAUAUCAUUGGAAUUAUCAGCAUUCUCUGUUGAGCUUGGAGAAACUGCUGGCUGUUGCUUGACGUAAAGCACUAAAUUGGGAGCACUUAAACCUUACAGAAUUGCUUUAUCAUUCAUAACAUACAUUUUUAUUUAUUCAUUUACAGUUUAAUAAACACAGCAUUUACUGGAGUCAAUUGACAUCUUCAAAAACAGGAAGUUAUAUAUUUUCAAGCAUAUUUAAAUGUUGACAUUUUGAAGACUAAUUUCAAGUUAAAUCAUUAAUUUUAAUGCCAGACCAGCUAAUAGUUAAUGGAAAACGAAAGUUCACCCAAGGGUUAGGUUUAGUCAGGGGCUGUCAUGCUGAAGGAUGACUAAGCAGUUUGGUGUUCCUCAUUUCUCUGUCUACUUCAGACAUUUUCUUUUUUAACACAGAUUAGGCUUGGUUUGGAAAAUACACACAUUAAUUUUCUAUACCUUAUUACCGCACACUGAUAAAAAGCAGCUUUCUAUUACCAGUCAAAGAACACAUACACCCCCCUUUAGUGUCAAUGCCUCUUGCUCUGCAUUAAAAGAUGUUCAGGCCUGCCAGCAGGGGGCGUCAAAGAGUACAAAUGACCCCUGCCCUGGGGGUUACAAUACUAUGUGUAUCAUUGCUGCCCGGCCCAAUUCUGUUUAGUCUCAGUCAGACUGUGUGCUUAAUUUAUACCAUCAAAUGAUUUUUUGCUAUGACUAGUUUUCGGAGUUUGUUUUUCUACAACUUGGAGCAACUAAUGCACUUGACAUUUAGGUAGAAGGGAUGUUAGACAUAUGCUCUGUGAUUCAGCUCAGUAUUUUCAGUUGGAAAUAUGCUUUAAACUGAACAUGUUUAGUGCUGAGGGAAGGUCAUGAAGAAUUAUAUUUGUUAUUUUGUACGUUUGAGAUUUCAUGUAUGCCUAUUACUAUUAUCGGUUUGCACUUACAUAAAGUUUGAUAACUGUGUCCUAUCUUAAAUAUAAGUUGAGUAUCAAUAAAGGUUUGUGUUGAAAGCAUAUCCUGUUAAAAUACACAUUUACUGCAUUGCAUUUUUCUUACUUAUGUAACAACAACAGAAGUCAAAUUAAACCUUUAAAUUGUUUAAAUAGUGUCUUGGUCAUUGUCUGUUUUCUCUCUGAUUCAGUAAAAAAGUUUAGCGUCUCUCACCUACAAAGACAUAAGACACGAGACCAACCACAUUAACAUCCUGUUUGCUAUGAAUAUAAUGUUUUAUUUAUUGUUUUCAAUCAUGAACAUGCGACAGUAUAUAGUACAAAUGAAAUGGCAUUCCUCCAAAUCCAUGGUGAAACAUUUUUAAGGCAGUUUCCACUGCAGUAGCGGUAGUUGCUAAUGUUCUUUCAGAAACUUGAAUAAUCCAGAACACAGUGGUGUACAUUGUGUGUGCUGUCAUUUGAUUCUUAAUUAUUUUUACUUAAUUGCAUUUUUCUUCCAACAUAAAUGUGUGAUUUUAUGGUUGAUUGAAUUGACUCAAGUAAGAAUAGUUGCUGAAUCAUCAAUUAUCCAGUUAAAUAAACAGAAAUAUUGAAGAUCAGUUUUGCUUCUUACAUCCUGACUUGACGGACACAUUGACAUGCUUGUGUGCCUGAAAGAGGAAGUCAUAUAUAUAGGAAAUGUAUUCUACGAACACACGUCUAAUGUUUUUGAGCUAAUGCGUUUCUGCUUUACAAGACAGGAGUGCGCUGGGUGAACCGGGUCAGUUUCUAUGAUCAGAAUGGAGCGCUUGUUGUGGAUUCACCUCUUUCUAGGUCUGAUGAUUCUGUUUGCUGGAACGAAUGGUUUAACAGAGAUGGAGGUGGACUUGGAGGAAAACAUAACAAUCCCCUGUUCUCUUAAAAUGAAUGGGGCUGUUUUCUGGUAUAAACAACGUGAGGCACAGUCUCCUCUGGUCUUACUACGCUUUCUGGGUGAAACAAUUUCAUUUUACUACAAUGGCAGUUUCAAGAAGAAAUACGUUUUACAAACAGAUGAAGGAUUGUUGAUACAGAAUGUUACAGUGGAGGAUUAUGUGGUUUAUUACUGUGGGAAGAUAGAAAAUAUGUCAAUGAAGUUCGACGAUGCCACCAGGCUUGUUAGUAUGAGACAACUGAAGACCACAGAUGAUCCAUCUGAACCCAAGAUCAGGACUCCCGGUUCAGAGCUUACUUGCUCAAAUAUACUUAUACGUUCCACUGUCUUGAACGGGAUUUUUCUAUUACUGUUGGUUGUGGCUAGUUUUUGUUGGAUUUCCGGCCUGCGUAGGAGAGCCUCCACCCAGGGUGCUGGUUCUCCUCCUCCUCCUGGUCCUCCUCCACCUGGUCCUCCACCUCCUGGUUCUCCUCCACCUCCUGGUUCUCCUCCACCUCCUGGUCCUCAAACAGACCAUGAGCCACAGUACGAGGCGAUACAGCUGUCACCGACUGCAAGGACAGAGCAGCCCAUCUAACUACUCAUUCCCGGGUGCAAUUCACAACCAGCACACUGUAACGCCAGAGCCUUCUGCAGCUGGUGAUUGGCUGCUGCGCUCGGCAUCCCCAGAAUAUAAGAACAAUCGGCUGCACCUGUAUCUCAUUUAGGGUUUCAGUAUGUAAGUGUUUGUUUGUGUAUUGUCCGGUGCAAAGUCUUGAUCUUGUUUCUAGUUCAGCCUUGUUUGAAACUGUGUACUGCUCCUGACCUUGGCUAGUUUUCAUACUCUCUGUUUUGGAUCACCUGUAUUGCCGUCUACUCGUGUAGCGAUCGUUGCCUGGCCGACCAUUCUAAUUAAAUCAGCGCUCUACACUUGGACCCAGCACUGUCUAGUAUGCAUGUUUCAUUAUAAGUGGGUGGAACAUGUCCUUUCUAAGAACAGCUUGUCCAUCCCCCUCUACACUUUUUCUUAAGAAAAUUAUAUUUAACGACUGCAUCCUCAGUUAUUUGAAGAAGAAAAAAGCAGUUCCAUCAACAUUGGAAAACAAACCUACAUGCGUGGUCCAAUGAAAUGCCAGAUUGCACUCAUACACAGGCUGCUGUUGCAUCUGUGGCUAGGACUUCUUAACCAUAUCCUGUCAUCACCAUCCACUCAACUGCCAUCUUUUAACCUUUCACGUGCCCAAAAACACAUAUUUACAAAUUAAGAAAAUAACUUUAAGACCAGCCUAUUAUAGUCCUAUCCUCUGAUUUGUUAGGAUACAAUAUCAAGAAGGGUUUGUGUUGAAAGCAUAGCACGUCAGAAUGUACAUGUACUGCAUUUUCUUACCCUCAUAACUUCAAAAGAAGUACAAUAA
This is a long non-coding RNA of Hypomesus transpacificus, 4640 nucleotides long. RefSeq lists it as uncharacterized. The transcript is spliced from 4 exons. NCBI's taxonomy places the organism in Eukaryota, Metazoa, Chordata, Actinopteri, Osmeriformes, Osmeridae. The record is from RefSeq and is a predicted model, not a curated record.